RNAcentral lists this unclassified non-coding RNA (229 nucleotides) under plant metagenome. RNAcentral's name for it is "partial contains small subunit ribosomal RNA, internal transcribed spacer 1, and 5.8S ribosomal RNA". The record is from RNAcentral.
UCUCCGUAGGUGAACCUGCGGAGGGAUCAUUACAGAGUUCAUGCCCUACCGGGUAGAUCUCCCACCCUAUGUUAUUAUUACUUUGUUGCUUUGGCGGGCCGUUAGGCUCCGGCCCGACUACCGGCCCCGGCUGGUAAGCGCCCGCCAGAGGACCCUAAACCCUGAAUAUUAGUGUCGUCUGAGUACUAUAUAAUAGUUAAAACUUUCAACAACGGAUCUCUUGGUUCUG